ACGAGUUGUAGAUUGCAGGUUGGAAUCUGUGUGGAAGGCGGUGUCCAAGUCCCUUGGAACAGGGCGCCCAGGAGGGUGAGAGCCCCGUGGGAUGCCGGCGGAAGCAGUGAGGCCCUUCUGACGAGUCGAGUUGUUUGGGAAUGCAGCUCCAAGCGGGUGGUAAAUUCCAUCUAAGGCUAAAUACUGGCGAGAGACCGAUAGCGAACAAGUACUGUGAAGGAAAGAUGAAAAGCACUUUGAAAAGAGAGUGAAACAGCACGUGAAAUUGUUGAAAGGGAAGGGUAUUGCGCCCGACAUGGGGAUUGCGCACCGCUGCCUCUCGUGGGCGGCGCUCUGGGCUUUCCCUGGGCCAGCAUCGGUUCUUGCUGCAGGAGAAGGGGUUCUGGAACGUGGCUCUUC
This 399-nucleotide ribosomal RNA is filed under the name Pichia kudriavzevii. RNAcentral describes it as "LSU rRNA". It matches the Rfam family "Eukaryotic large subunit ribosomal RNA", at positions 138 to 545 of the family's 3401-position model. Lineage: Eukaryota; Fungi; Ascomycota; Pichiomycetes; Pichiales; Pichiaceae. The record is from RNAcentral.